UUUACUACACCCUUCCCCCCUCCUCCCUGUCAUCUACCUCGACCCACCCACCUCAGGCAGACUCUAAGGCAGACCUGUGUUUCUAUUCUUUGCCGCCCAAGGAGAAUCCACCAGACGGGCCACGGCAGACAAACAGCCCCCUCCCUGUGGAGAUGGUCGACGGCGGCGAGGCCUACCCUCCACCGUCAGUCAGCCGAGGUAACAGCCGGAGUAAGCAAGAGGAUUUUCAUUCAAGGGGUGUUAUUUCUAGAGGGAGGAGAUGUCCGAUUUAUUUAGUAGGAUCCAAGCAGCUAUAGUUAUCAAUCGAGUAGAGAACAGUGAACAGUCACCUGAAGAUUGGAACAGCGACUAUGAUGGAUCUGGUGGUUCAACAGGUUUGCCUGGUACGCCAUGCUUCAUGUCCAGGCUUUCUCUGCUCAAAGUUGGUUCGGUCAUAGGCCAAUUCAGAUUCAUAUGGUCAUUUGUUUAGGCUAAUGGGCUUCUUAUCACAGCUCUUCGUGCUAGAUAGUCUCGAUCUAGGCAUUCUAAACAUGUUGUGAGGUGUAACACCGCGGAUAGGUCUGUACAACUAUGACACAAUGAAGAAGAUGGUUGAAAAAAUUAUAGUCAGUGUUGGUGCUGUGAAGUUUCCUACCAUGGUGCAACAGUACCCUCCCCCCCCUCACAAGUGCUAAAAUAGUUUUUUUUUUGAAAUGCAAUCAUUUCCAUUCAUGACAUGCAAUGAACACAUUUGCAACUCAAUAGGUACGGACCGAGAUGUCAGUGAGCAAUCUAAUUGGCUUCCCUUAUAAGGAAACUUUCACAGCAAAGUCAGCAAAGCUAGCACCAAUGCCCAAGAGAGGAAACGCCACAUGCUCCCCGAUGUUGCGAAGUAGUUAUGCCAAAACCGGUCCGCAGAAGUUUUCGAAUUACAUAUGAACACGCUACCCAAGCAUAUCAGCAUAGAAGCUUGGUAUACUUCUACGAGAGCAGAACGCCUGCGGCCUAGCAAACAUAUCAUAAAUGCGUCAAGCGUUCCAGUCCAAUAUGUUUAAUUUCACAGACAAGCUUAUGGCAUGCUUAGCAGAGAGUUGCACUUGUUGUAAGGCACAUGGGAACAAAAAAUGCAUAUUGGAUAAUGAAGGAACAAAUACUUGUGAUGAACCCCCUCAUGUAUCAACAAAUCAAACUCAAUUGAGCAUGCCGCUAGUCAGCAAGAUUGGACCCCGACUACCAACACCAGGCAACCCUGGAGGUUGCAUGUCUAUCAAUAGUUCCGUGUCUAGGAAAAGGGAUGGCAGUUUAUCAUCAAGCAUACAGUCGGGCACAGCAAAGAAAACAUGUUCACGCGAGACAGGGACCGCCCUCGCUGCAACACCAACAUGUGGGCAAGAACCACUCAAUAAUAUCCCCACAUCUCAGGAUGCAACCGUUAAGGAAAUUGCAAGCAAAAUUGUUGCUUUUUAUGAUGACCUUACAGCCAUCUUGGUUAAUUACUAUGCUGAGAUAUGUCCAGCCCCGGCUUCAUAUUGUUUGGAUCAACCAUCGAUGGAGCACCUAUGAAGAUCGAUCUACCUCAAUGCAACUUUGGAAGAGAUCCGUGGGUCGCUGGAUCAGUCCCAGUACCACCAAUCCCAACUGUACUCAGGGCCAUAAAAGACUGGAUGAGUGCAACCUCCAUGCUAAACCUCGAG
This is a long non-coding RNA of Triticum aestivum (bread wheat), 1673 nucleotides long. RefSeq lists it as uncharacterized. The transcript is spliced from 4 exons. NCBI's taxonomy places the organism in Eukaryota, Viridiplantae, Streptophyta, Magnoliopsida, Poales, Poaceae. The record is from RefSeq and is a predicted model, not a curated record.